GGAUGUGAAGGCAAUCUGGCUGCGACAUCUGUCACCCCAUUGAUUGCCAGGGUUGAUUCAGCUGAUCUGGCUGACUUCCCCUUCCUGUCCCCUUCCUCCCUCACUGCUCUAUGUGCGUCCCUCCCAAAGCUGCGCGCUCGGUCGAAGAGGACAACCUUCCCUGACAGAGACAGUACCGUUCAUCGGUCAAGGGUAUAUGGUAGCUGUGCUCCCCUGCUAGAACCUCCAAACAAGCUCAGAUCUUACCAUUAAACUUCAAUUGGUGUAUUUUGAUAAGUAUAAUGAAAUUACUAAGACCCUACUGUCUGCAUUGCUCAAGCUUGUG
RNAcentral lists this small nuclear RNA (325 nucleotides) under Gallus gallus (chicken). RNAcentral describes it as "7SK RNA". It matches the Rfam family "7SK RNA". From Rfam's summary of the family: 7SK was discovered as an abundant small nuclear RNA in the mid-70s but a possible function has only recently been suggested. Two independent studies have found that 7SK RNA binds the CDK9/cyclin T complex (known as elongation factor P-TEFb). P-TEFb activates transcription by phosphorylating the C-terminal domain of RNA polymerase II. Lineage: Eukaryota; Metazoa; Chordata; Aves; Galliformes; Phasianidae. The record is from Rfam by way of RNAcentral.